GACGAACGCUGGCGGCGUGCUUAACACAUGCAAGUCGAACGGUGAAGCGCCUUCCUUUUUGGUGGGUGUGGAUGAGUGGCGAACGGGUGAGUAACACGUGAGUAACCUGCCCCCUUCUUCUGGAUAACCGCAUGAAAGUGUGGCUAAUACGGGAUAUUCUGGGUCUGUCGCAUGAUGGGUCUGGGAAAGAUAUUGUUUCGGUGGGGGAUGGGCUCGCGGCCUAUCAGCUUGUUGGUGGGGUGAUGGCCUACCAAGGCGGUGACGGGUAGCCGGCCUGAGAGGGUGGACGGUCACACGGGGACUGAGACACGGCCCAGACUCCUACGGGAGGCAGCAGUGGGGAAUAUUGCACAAUGGGCGCAAGCCUGAUGCAGCGACGCCGCGUGAGGGAUGGAGGCCUUCGGGUUGUGAACCUCUUUCGCCAGUGAAGCAGGCCUGCCUCGUUUGUGGGUGGGUUGAUGGUAGCUGGAUAAGAAGCGCCGGCUAACUACGUG
Molecule: ribosomal RNA, 494 nt
Filed under: uncultured bacterium
Lineage: Bacteria
Description: partial 16S ribosomal RNA
Rfam family: Bacterial small subunit ribosomal RNA
Source: RNAcentral